UGGGGAAUAUUGCACAAUGGGCGCAAGCCUGAUGCAGCCAUGCCGCGUGUGUGAAGAAGGCCUUCGGGUUGUAAAGCACUUUCAGCGAGGAGGAAGGUGGUGAACUUAAUACGUUCAUCAAUUGACGUUACUCGCAGAAGAAGCACCGGCUAACUCCGUGCCAGCAGCCGCGGUAAUACGGAGGGUGCAAGCGUUAAUCGGAAUUACUGGGCGUAAAGCGCACGCAGGCGGUUUGUUAAGUCAGAUGUGAAAUCCCCGGGCUCAACCUGGGAACUGCAUUUGAAACUGGCAAGCUAGAGUCUCGUAGAGGGGGGUAGAAUUCCAGGUGUAGCGGUGAAAUGCGUAGAGAUCUGGAGGAAUACCGGUGGCGAAGGCGGCCCCCUGGACGAAGACUGACGCUCAGGUGCGAAAAGCGUGGGGAGCAAAACAGGAUUAGAUACCCUGGUAGUCCACGCUGUAAAACGAUGUCGAUUUUGGAGGUUGUGCCCUUGAGGCGUGGCUUCCGGAGCUAACGCGUUAAAUCGACCGCCUGGGGAGUACGGCCGCAAGGUUAAAACUU
RNAcentral lists this ribosomal RNA (559 nucleotides) under uncultured bacterium. Its description in RNAcentral is "partial 16S ribosomal RNA". It matches the Rfam family "Bacterial small subunit ribosomal RNA", at positions 355 to 902 of the family's 1533-position model. The record is from RNAcentral.